RNAcentral lists this non-coding RNA (865 nucleotides) under Hemiergis gracilipes (south-western mulch-skink). Its description in RNAcentral is "partial 12S ribosomal RNA". It matches the Rfam family "Bacterial small subunit ribosomal RNA". The record is from RNAcentral. Lineage: Eukaryota; Metazoa; Chordata; Lepidosauria; Squamata; Scincidae.
UCCCAAAAACACAAAGUUUUGGUCCUAAACUUGCCAUUGUUUUUUAUCAAAAUUAUACAUGCAAGCCUCCACGAGCCAGUGAGAAUGCCCAUAUACCCCAGACAGCCGACCGGAGCAGGCAUCAGGAUGCAAUUAAAGUUAGCCAAGGACGCCUUGCGCACGCCACACCCACACGGGCUUUCAGCAGUAAUUAACAUUAAAGCAUGAGCGAAAGCUCGAUUUAGUUAUGAUAAAUAAAGUCGGUAAAUUUCGUGCCAGCCACCGCGGUUAUACGAAAGACCAAAAACAAUAGCCCACGGCGUAAAGCGUGACCAGAACAAGAUAAACCAUUAAAGGGGUAAGACUGCCAAGUUGUAAAACACUACUGCACGUCAGAACCACAACAAUAACAUGCCUUUAAACCAACUUUAUCUCACGAAAGCUAAGAAACAAACUGGGAUUAGAUACCCCACUAUGCUUAGCCCUAAACACAGAUAGUUUUAACACAAAACAAUCCGCCAGAGAACUACAAGCGAAAAGCUCGAAACUCCAAGGACUUGGCGGUGCUUCAAAUCAACCUAGAGGAGCCUGUCCUAUAAUCGAUACCCCACGUUUCACCUUACCACUUCUAGCCAAUCAGCCUAUAUACCGCCGUCGUCAGCCUACCUUGUGAAAGGAACAAAGUGAGCAAAAAAGUUAUUAACUAACACGUCAGGUCAAGGUGUAGCACACGAAGUGGUAGAGAUGGGCUACAUUUUUUCAAAGGAAAAACCACAAAUAGUAAGCUGAAACACAUACUUGAAGGAGGAUUUAGUAGUAAGAUAAAAAAGUAUGCUUAUCUUAAACCUGCUCUGAAGCGCGCACACACCGCCCGUCACCCUCAUCG